RNAcentral lists this ribosomal RNA (475 nucleotides) under uncultured Allobrachymonas sp. Its description in RNAcentral is "bacterial SSU rRNA". It matches the Rfam family "Bacterial small subunit ribosomal RNA", at positions 901 to 1382 of the family's 1533-position model. Lineage: Bacteria; Pseudomonadati; Pseudomonadota; Betaproteobacteria; Burkholderiales; Comamonadaceae. The record is from RNAcentral.
UUAAAGGAAUUGACGGGGACCCGCACAAGCGGUGGAUGAUGUGGUUUAAUUCGAUGCAACGCGAAAACUUACCCACCUUUGACAUGGCAGGAAUCCUGAAGAGAUUUGGGAGUGCUCGAAAGAGAACCUGCACACAGGUGCUGCAUGGCUGUCGUCAGCUCGUGUCGUGAGAUGUUGGGUUAAGUCCCGCAACGAGCGCAACCCUUGCCAUUAGUUGCUACGAAAGGGCACUCUAAUGAGACUGCCGGUGACAAACCGGAGGAAGGUGGGGAUGACGUCAAGUCCUCAUGGCCCUUAUAGGUGGGGCUACACACGUCAUACAAUGGAUGGUACAAAGGGUCGCCAACCCGCGAGGGGGAGCCAAUCCCAUAAAGCCAUUCGUAGUCCGGAUCGCAGUCUGCAACCCGACUGCGUGAAGUCGGAAUCGCUAGUAAUCGUGGAUCAGAAUGUCACGGUGAAUACGUUCCCGGGUCUU